Long non-coding RNA from Trichomycterus rosablanca, 226 nucleotides. RefSeq lists it as uncharacterized. Lineage: Eukaryota; Metazoa; Chordata; Actinopteri; Siluriformes; Trichomycteridae. The record is from RefSeq and is a predicted model, not a curated record. The transcript has 3 exons.
CCAGGCCAAACCGCUGCUACACACUUCUCCUCUGACCCGCAGCAUCAGACAGACAGGUUCUGCUGCACCUUGUGCCAACUGUGGCACUUCAAACAAAAUGUGUCCUCAUGAAACUUGUGGACAAGACCCCAGUAUGGCCAAUCCCGCCAAACCACAAGCUAAAGCUGCUAAUCCAAGGACUGGCCUGAACUUUAACACUUUCCAUUAAAAUGGGACUCAUGCUGCA